UACGUAGGGGGCAAGCGUUAUCCGGAUUUACUGGGUGUAAAGGGAGCGCAGACGGCAGUGCAAGUCUGGAGUGAAAGCCCGGGGCCCAACCCCGGAACUGCUCUGGAAACUGUGCGGCUAGAGUACUGGAGGGGCAGGCGGAAUUCCUAGUGUAGCGGUGAAAUGCGUAGAUAUUAGGAGGAACACCAGUGGCGAAGGCGGCCUGCUGGACAGUAACUGACGUUGAGGUUCGAAAGCGUGGGGAGCAAACAGG
This 253-nucleotide ribosomal RNA is filed under the name uncultured bacterium. RNAcentral's name for it is "partial 16S ribosomal RNA". It matches the Rfam family "Bacterial small subunit ribosomal RNA", at positions 524 to 776 of the family's 1533-position model. The record is from RNAcentral.